UACGUAGGGGGCAAGCGUUGUCCGGAAUUAUUGGGCGUAAAGAGCGUGUAGGCGGUCCGGUAAGUCAGCUGUGAAAGUCAAGGGCUCAACCCUUGAAUGCCGGUUGAUACUGUCGGGCUAGAGUCCGGAAGAGGCGAGUGGAAUUCCCGGUGUAGCGGUGAAAUGCGCAGAUAUCGGGAGGAACACCAAUGGCGAAGGCGGCUCGCUGGGCUUGGUCUGACGCUGCGGCGCGAAAGCGUGGGGAGCGAACAGG
Molecule: ribosomal RNA, 253 nt
Filed under: uncultured bacterium
Lineage: Bacteria
Description: partial 16S ribosomal RNA
Rfam family: Bacterial small subunit ribosomal RNA
Source: RNAcentral